RNAcentral lists this transfer RNA (74 nucleotides) under Treponema sp. RNAcentral describes it as "tRNA-Arg". It matches the Rfam family "tRNA". From Rfam's summary of the family: Transfer RNA (tRNA) molecules are approximately 80 nucleotides in length. Their secondary structure includes four short double-helical elements and three loops (D, anti-codon, and T loops). Lineage: Bacteria; Pseudomonadati; Spirochaetota; Spirochaetia; Treponematales; Treponemataceae. The record is from RNAcentral.
GCGCCCGUAGCUCAGUUGGAUAGAGCGACGGACUUCGAAUCCGUAGGCCGCACGUUCGAGUCGUGUCGGGCGCA